AUGGGGCCGGUUACUUAUCUCUCGGGGAUGCCCUGCCCUCCCCUGGCGUGCUGGGGACCGAUGAUGCCCUGCCUUCCCCUGGCGUGCUGGGGAUCUGGUGGCGCCCGUCGAACGUCGAGAGGUGGCACAGCCCCGCCACACACUUGUUCCUCCUCCUCAGGAUCCUCAAUUCCUCAUCUAAAAGCUGUGAUAUUUCCCUCCUUCAUGGAUGUAUGGAACUGCGUGAAUGGGACAGCGAAGCCACUGUCAUGA
This 252-nucleotide ribosomal RNA is filed under the name Triticum aestivum (bread wheat). Its description in RNAcentral is "partial small subunit ribosomal RNA". The record is from RNAcentral. Lineage: Eukaryota; Viridiplantae; Streptophyta; Magnoliopsida; Poales; Poaceae.